CGGAGUAACGCGUGAGGAACCUGCCUCAAAGAGGGGACGAACAGUUGGAAACGACUGCUAAUACCGCAUAAGCCCACGGCUCGGCAUCGAGCAGAGGGAAAAGGAGCAAUCCGCUUUGAGAUGGCCUCGCGUCCGAUUAGCUAGUUGGUGAGGUAACGGCCCACCAAGGCGACGAUCGGUAGCCGGACUGAGAGGUUGAACGGCCACAUUGGGACUGAGACACGGCCCAG
RNAcentral lists this ribosomal RNA (230 nucleotides) under uncultured bacterium. RNAcentral describes it as "partial 16S ribosomal RNA". It matches the Rfam family "Bacterial small subunit ribosomal RNA", at positions 106 to 334 of the family's 1533-position model. The record is from RNAcentral.